UUUGGGCCUAAUAGGCCAACAUGAUUAUUUAUAAACCCAAGACAUCGGCCGACAAGGCCGUACAAUCUUUCACGUACAUGACAUAUAUCUACAAGCCUCUAAGAAUACAUAAAUGUCAUAAAGGUCGGGACAGAUUCCCGCCAUACCAAACAAUACACGUCUAAAUCAUACCAGCUAAAUAAGCAGCUCUAAAGCAAAUAGAGCGCACCAACAUCUUCCGCUGAGCUGAUAGCCUACACGGAGGGCUCUCGACUGUCUAUCGGGACCUGCGGGCAUGAAACGCAACGUCCCCAGAAAAAAAGGGACGUCAGUACGAAUAAUGUACCGAGUAUGUAAGGCACAUAAAUAAGUACAUAAGAGAUAUGGAAGAAAUAUAGAGUGCAUGACUCAACCUGUAAGUCUGAAUAACUUUGCAAAUCAUAAAUUACUUUUAGCGUCAUGCAUAUGCGUAUGACUGUUAUGUCGUGCAUAGGUACAUAUUUCAUAACAUCAUCAUCCUCUGAGGGCAUCUCGUCAUAUCAUAUCGGCCACUGUAGGCAAAAUCAUCAUUGUAUACUAGCUGAUCAGGUGGUGGUGCGUAUAUAACGCCAUAACCUUUCCCAUAUCCCAUAUACAUAUAUAUACAUACAUAUAUAUGCGUAUAUAACUCCGUUUGAGUACAUACAUACAUAUAUAUAUGCGUAUAACGCCGUUUGUAGCAUAUUUCAGCCACUGUGGGCAACAUCAUCAUCAUAUANNNNNNNNNNNNNNNNNNNNNUCCCAUAUCCCAUAUACAUAUAUCUACAUAUAUACGUGUAUAUAAUGUCAUCUGGUCAUGGGUCAAUGCACAUGAACGCAAUGCAUGUAAAGUACAUCAAUAAAAUCAUUCGGAAUGUCAUAAGAACAUUUUGCCUCUUGAGCAAUAUCAUAAAGUAACAUCUUUUCAACUUUCGUAUUUUUCUGAGACCCAUGAACAGAUGAUAAAAUAUUAUGACACAUGAAAAUUAAAUAACAUAUAUAUUUCUAUUACUUUUAUGAGUAGAGUCACUUAUGUAAUUUGUGCAUUUGCACGUUUUGUUCAUAUCGUAUGUAUCAUGCCAAAAGAAAGAAGGGAUAACCUUAACAUACCUGUUCUUGAAUUAUUUGAACAAAAUGAAGCUUUCUACUUCUUGCGAAAUAUGAACGAACCUAUGCUUGGAUUGAACAAAAUUAGACUGAAAUUUUGAUCAAAAUUUUUGAAUUUGUUGAACGAAAUGAUUCUGUUGGUUCAAGACAGAAUAUAAAUGUUUGGUUUCACGUUUUUGGUUCAAGACAAAAAUGCAAAUGCUUGUUUGAUCUUGAAUUGUCUUGAAUACAAAUGUUUGGUUUUACGUUUUUGGUUCAAGACAAAACUGUAAAUGCUUGUUUGAAAUGGAAUUUUUGCUUUUGCCUAAUGUCUUGCCCUUUUAAGCCAAAGGCAGAUUUGGCUUAGCCCUUUUCAAGAAAUUUCAUGGAUUCUAUUCAAUUCUUAUCAAGAUUUUGACUUAGUCAUUAUUUUGUUACUACAUGAUAGCCAUCUGGCAAGGUGACUUAAGAGUCAUCCUUUGCCUAGUGUGACUUUAUGCCACGUGGUGAAGAUUAUUAAUCUUUACCCACUUAUUAGUUAACUGGGUAAUGUUAUGUUACCCGGUAAUUAAUCAAUUACCCGCAUAAUUUAAAAAUUGUCUCAACUUAAUUAAAUACUACUCUAUUUUAACAUACCUUGUACACCUUAUGGUCAUAUAGUACCUUGUGUGGCACUAGUCCAUAAAUAUCGGGUAUUUUAGCUUGGGCCAUAUUUUAUCCCAAAAGGCCAAAUUUCAACGAAACUCAUUUUCUUUGACUUGCUUCCCCUUUCAUCUUCACGAAUUUACUUAUCACUCUUUUGAAAUAGCGUAAUACUUAUAAUCCAAAAUAAAUCUCAUUCCCGAACUUUCGUCGAUUAACUUAUGAUGAAACUUCAACUUACGAAAAUGCAGGACAUAACAUCUCAUUUUCGAUCUCUCAUUAAUUUAUUUAUGGUAUUUUUCAUGUACGAAAAUAUGAGGCAUAAUAUCAUUCCCUCAUUUGGAACAUUCGUCCUCGAAUGUUGACUGAUGUGCUUAUCAUCCUCAUGUCCCAUAGCUCUUACGAAUACUUUAGUAGUCCUUUUACCAUCUAGGCAACUGUUCUAUGAAUGAGUUUAAAGGCCAUGUCAUUCCCCCCUUUAGGCCUCUUUCCCAUGCCAUGACUUGUAAUCGAGUUCCUUCCAAUCUCAUAACUGCUGCUACCUUCCAUUAUGCAGUUUGUACGACACUGACCUUGUAAGUGUUCCUAUGCGACUCUUUGCUCCUUUUUCCUCCAGCUUUUAGCCAAUCCUGAAGUUCUUCGCUUGGUAUUUUAUCGAACUUAUGAAUACUGCUAUAUCUUAUUUUGUAGACCUGGUUAUCCAUUUGUAUAACUUUACUGCAUCUACAUAGGUCAUACUAUACCAUAGCACUUGCCUCGAUUUCUCGUUACUGAUGUCUGCUACCAAAUCUCAGGUAACUUUCAUUGCUUAUCUCGUACGUACAAAUCUAUGUCCUCUAAUGCACCUACAUUACUGUUCAUCUUUAAGAAUUACGACCUAAUCUCCCCUCAUACUUUAUAACUUUUAUCCAUCAGUUGUUGAUUCACCUCAAUAUUGGUUAACAAUAUACCAUUGAUAGCUUGCAACCUCUUACGUAAUCAUUAGGGUUCAUGUUGCAUCACGGAACAUUUGAAGUGAUUUUUCCGAUCCACCUGGGGAUGAUACGAUAUUAUACUUCCAUAACCGUAUUUCAUAGUAUCCCAAUGUGAUUCCGUUACAUAGGUAUUUUAGUCACGUACAAUUAUCGAAAUCCCUUUAUUUAUCACAAUUACACCCUCAUUCUAUUAUCAGGGCAGCAUUUCAUCUCUUCUAAAUGCUACUAGUCAUAGACUCCUUUGUUUUCACGGUCUUAAUCCCGAAGACACAUCCAUUUCUGUCACCUUCUCCCUUGCCUUUUUCUUAUCCUUACUCUUGUAUUUCUACAACUUUGUCUUUCUAUAAUACUUUAGCUUGCGAUCGAUUCCCUUAUGCUUUUCUGGAACAUCAAGCGAGACAUUGCAUCGUCUCUAACUCUUCUUUUACUCUCUAAUUAGACAUUUUGGUACUUAAAAACCGUAGGUUGGAAAAUAUGCUACUGAUGAUGCUGCUAUCAUCCCUGGAUACUGGAUCCCGGCGUUUCUAGUCUUUUACCUAAAGUAUGGCCCACUCUCAUUCUCCUAUACUUGUUGUCCACCUUUACCUUACUUACUUUAAAAUAUCACCUUACAUUUUUCUAUCUUUCUUUCACAACCUACUGUCCACAUAGGUAUACAUCACAUCCACCACUUGAAGCUCUAUUAUAAUACUUGCACCUUUGGUGCCUGUACAAUCCGGUGGGAGCUCCAUACUGACUUCUUAUGAGGAUGGUACUUCUUCUAACUGGAUUUAUCGUAGAGCCGUUAUAGAAUAUAGUUGUUGUUCUAUCUCUCUUGAACCUCUAAUAUUAAGAGUGGCUCUACUAUGUUCUCAAUUAUGAUUUUUAUAACUUAUGGGUCCAAUAAUCGGAUUCCUGAUUUACUUCAUUGAUGUAAUCCUUUAGUUUCCUCCUUUUUCUGGUCGGCAUUUAUGUCGGGUUAAGUUACCUUCUGAUCUGUGGUUCAUAGUAUUAGUUAUUCCGUUUAGCCUUUUCAUGGGCGAUGAGUAAUAUGCAUGAUACAAUCCUUUCACAAUUUAAUCUUUCGUCUACGACCUGGGUUCAAUUCUUUCUUUUAACAUAUACCAACAUCUUCUAUGUCUAUAUAUGUUGCAUGUAUAAAACUCCGAACCCUUAAGUGCGUUCAUAAUAUAACCCACUCUGGAUCAUUGAUCGAAUAAUUUCUUUCGUUCCAUGUUAGCUUUCUUUCAGCAUAAGCUAUUACUUUUCCUUGUCUUUUUGCCCCCUUGUUGCAUCCAUACUUAUCUUAUCUGAAUUCCACACAUGCCAGAGUUUUCAUACAACUCACAUAAUCUCGAAUAUUACUUUUAAUUUUACUUUCCGUUCAUUAGCCACGAUAGGUGCCACUUUCCUUUGGAGUGCUUAUAAUGUUGUUGUGAGACUGUUGUUACACGACCAUUUCCUCUUUAGGUCGUUGUGCUUAGGUUGAAACCUUCUUCCUUAUUUCCUUAGCUAGUCUUACGUUGUAGUACUUAGGGAGAACCCUUGUCUCUCGUAAAGAUGGGAGCUUAUUACUGACCUUUUUGAUGUCCUCCCUUGCUAUAAUCAUCCGUAGUUGCUUACCUCCGUACCCUUGUGCUUGUAAGGUUACUUCUGAACUGAUAUUUUGACUGCCUUCCCCGUGGAACUUUCUUUUAUCCCUAUAACACUCAUACGAUACCUUUAACUACUCUAACUCAUAUUUGAAUAUACCUCAAGUAUUAUAAUGACAUUACUGCGAGGAUAAAUUUUCCAUGUUGGGGUUUACUACACUUAUCUUGCAUGAGUUGCUGAUUUGUCUGUAACUUCUUGUCUAGCCAUAGCUAGGCUCUUCCUAAAUCAACUACUAACUACUUAUCGGCCCACUUCCUGUAUCAAUAUCCCGCGUAAUCUUUCUUGGGUUAUUUUCUUUGUCUUAACUUACCCCUUACACUAAUUCCUUAUUAAUCAGUAAUAUCUCGGGCAGGAACCCUUACUUCCUCUCCUUUACAUCGUGUUUGCAUAAUACUCUGGUAUCGUAGCAUAUCUGUAGUCUUUGAGUAAGUGAAACCUCAUCCCUUUUUCGUUUUAUCGCAUUCUUCCUUUAUCAUUUCAUAUUCCCCCCUUUAGGAGAGUACUAAGACUUGGAGCUAUGACGGCCUACCUAUAGAUGUUUUGCCUCUUCAUCUUUGACGUUCUUUCACAUUAUCGAUGACCCUUACUUGCCUUGCGGUAAUUCUUCUGUACCAAGGAUAACAAAAUUCCUUAUUCGCAAGAGUGGAACUUAGUGUAACUAGCACAUAUAGUCCCUUAAGCUUAACUUUGCUCAUAUUUCUUGCUCUAAAGAAGCGUUUCCCUGAAUGACUAUUCUCUGAAUUCAUCGUGAAUCUUCUUCUGUUGUCCAUUCUAUUACUGCCGGAACAAAAUCUGAAACUCCUAUGAUGCCGAGUAUUUUCCAAUCAUUCAAUCCUUAAUUCAUAUUUAGUUUACCUUGUUUACCAGUCCAUACUGAUUUCUAUUACUCUGGGAAUUAACUCUCCCCUCUGGUAGGCGCGUUGGAGUCACAAACUUAUUUCUCAAAAUGAGGAUAUAACCUUAUGGCCUAUAUUCUUUUGUUGUCUCAAGGCCCAUCACCUUUCGUCUCUUCCUUCAUUGACUAUAGGUUCUGUAACAUUCUACCGUUUUCAUCCAUGUAUCACACCUUAUUCAUAAUGCUUCCUUAUCUCUCUCUCAUUAUUCUGCUAAUAUUUCUGCAUAUUCCUUUUCUUGUGAAAACUUCAAUACGACAUUCUUUCGCUCUUAGCUUUCCUUUGCUCCAUCCAGUGGAUCUUCAAGUUGCUUAACGUUCUCGCUUUACUAGGGACACGAGCAACACUAAGAUAAUAUUUAUCCCUUCAAGGCUUAUAGUACAUGUCUUUGUAGUACUCAUAUCUGGCUGCACUAUUUUAAAGUGUUCCAUCUGGGAAUCUCACAAGGAGAUCUAUUAGCACAUUUGACAUAUCCUUCGAAAAUGUCAACUGACACAAACAAUUCAUCCAUCAUAUCUUCUUAUACUAUUUCUAUUAACCCUCAUAGGGCAUAUCUGGAAUGGGUGUGCCAAUUGUAUAUACCUCUACUAUAUUUGAAUAUAACUCAAAAAGCUUAUGUUCCUCUGCCUGAAUUAUAAACACUGUUAACCUUUGUUAAUUGGGCGCCUUAUACCCUUCUUCAUCUUGCUUCUUUUACUUACUGAAACUUGUACUUAUCUUCUUAAUUUCUCAUUAUCCUUCACUAUAAAGAUGGAUAGGCAUUCUUGCCUUGAGGCUUUUUAUCAAGAGGCUUACACCUUUCAGCACACACAUGAUCUGCUGAAGACCUCAUAUUUACUUAUCAUAAGCAUCAUGCAAAGUUGAGUUCCACUAAUCCAACACUUCCACAGCUAUAGCUCUUAUCGAUCAUCUUUCUGAACGUAGGCAUUAUCUUAUUACGAAUAAAAAUAGAAGCUCAGAACUUGAAUUCUUAUAAAUGAGCUCUACCACACGAUCUAGAGUAAGAAGAAAGAGUGACAGUCUUAAAUGCCCUGUAGCCUCCUGCUUAUAAGUGUGGUGCACGACACACCCAUAAACAAGACUCUACUAGACACGACUUGUAGACUUCCUCGGACAGAACUACUCUGAUACCACUUUUGUUACGACCCAAACCGAUGGGCCGCGACAGGCACUCGGUACCUUACUCAACCGAGUACCAACGUAACGUAUCUUUCUUAUUACAUUAUCAUAUACACAUGACAUACGAGCAUAAUAGGCCAACAUGAUUAUUUAUAAACCCAAGACAUCGGCCGACAAGGCCGUACAAUCUUUCACGUACAUGACAUAUGUCUACAAGCCUCUAUGAAUACAUAAAUGUCAUAAAGGUCGGGACAGAGUCCCGCCAUACCAAACAAUACACGUCUAAAUCAUACCAGCCAAACAAGCAGCUCCGAAGCAAAUGGAGCGCACCAACAUCUUCCGCUGAGCUGAUAGCCUACAUGGAGGGCUCUCAACUGUCUAUCGGGACCUGUGGGCAUGAAACCCAGUGUCCCCAGGCAAAAGGGAUGUUAGUACGAAUAAUGUACCGAGUAUGUAAGGCACAUAAAUAAGUACAUAAGAGACAUGGAAGAAAUAUAGAGUACAUGACUCAACCUGUAAGUCUGAAUAACUUUGCAAAUCAUAAAUUACUUUUAGCGUCAUGCAUAUGCGUAUGACUGUCAUGUCAUGCAUAGGUACAUGUUUCAUAACAUCAGCCCUAAGGGCAUCCCAUCAUAUCAUAUCGGCCAUUGUGGGCAAAAUCAUCAUCGUAUACCAGCUGAUCAAGUGGUGGUGCGUAUAUAACGCCACAACCUUUCCCAUAUCCCAUAUACAUAUAUAUAUAUAUAUAUACGCGUAUAUAACGCUAUUUGAUUACAUACAUAUAUAUGCGUAUAUAACGCCGUUUGCAGCAUAUUUCAGCCAUUAUGGGCAAUAUCAUCAUCAUAUACCAGCUGACCAGGUGGUGGUGCAUAUAUAAUGUCGUAACCUUUUCCCAUAUCCCAUAUACAUAUAUUUACAUAUAUACGCGUAUAUAACACCAUCUAGUCAUCGGUCAAUGUACAUGAACGCAAUGCAUGUAAAGUACUCAAUAAAAUCAUUCGGAAUGUCAUAAGACCAUUUUGCCUCUUGAGCAAUAUCAUAAAGUAACAUCUUUUCAACUUUCGUAUUUUUCUGAGACCCAUGAACAGAUGAUAAAAUAUUAUGACACAUGGAAAUUAAAUAACAUAGAUAUUUCUAUUACUUCUAUGAGUAAAGUCAUUUAUGGAAUUUAUGCAUUUGCACAUUUUGUUCAUAUCGUAUGGAUCAUGCCAAAAGAAAGAAGGGAUAGCCUUAAGAUACCUGUUCUUGGAAUUAUUUGAACAAAAUGAAGCUUUCUACUUCUUGCGAAAUAUGAACGAACCUAUGCUUGGAUUGAACAAAAUUAGGCUGAAAUUUCAAUCGAAAUUUUUGAAUUUGUUGAACAAAAUGAUUCUGUUGGUUCAAGACAGAAUAUAAAUGUUUGGUUUCACAUUUUUGGUUCAAGGCAAAAAUGCAAAUGUUUGUUUGAUCUUGAAUUGUCUUGAAUACAAAUGUUUGGUUUUACGUUUUUGGUUCAAGACAAAACUGCAAAUGCUUGUUUGAAAUGCAAUUUUUG
RNAcentral lists this long non-coding RNA (7877 nucleotides) under Nicotiana tabacum (common tobacco). RNAcentral describes it as "long non-coding RNA (NTAB_LNC007382)". The record is from RNAcentral. Lineage: Eukaryota; Viridiplantae; Streptophyta; Magnoliopsida; Solanales; Solanaceae.